Molecule: long non-coding RNA, 1929 nt
Organism: Lates calcarifer (barramundi perch)
Lineage: Eukaryota; Metazoa; Chordata; Actinopteri; Centropomidae
Exons: 2
Source: RefSeq, a predicted model, not a curated record
ACCCCUGUAAUCAGUGUGCUGCCUCUUUGUGAGUUUGACAAACGUGUGGCUGUGUGACCCCAAUCCACACCCCUCUCUCCCUCACAAACACAAGGCGGGGGAAGGUGUUGGCUCACUUACUAAUGCUAAAGCAUGCUUGAUAAGGUGUUCUCUCUGGGCUCAGGGACUCGUUUGCAGUGGCUGGUGUGGAUCCAGGUUGCCCUUUCCACAAUCUUCACAGCCGUUUCCGUGGUGAGGAGAAUCUGGUAGGGCCCCGUUCCACCGGCACAUGGUUCUUGCCAUGUGUCAACUUAACAUAAUGAUGGAACAGGUAUUUGGGUAAACAAGGUUUCCUUUGACUUUGUCAGUGAAAGAGCAGCCUGCUUUCUUCCAAGCAAGUCUCUCUUCCUGGGUGUUUCUGGCCUGCAAUUCCUGCAAAUUAGCUGUGAGUAUUAGUGGUGGGUUAGAAAAUGGUAAAGCAUUGAAAAGUCAGUUUUUUUAUUUACAUGCUUCUGCCAAUGCAACUAACUCUGCUGCCUGUGCAGAGUAAUUUGAGGGGAGUGAUUCAGCCAAAACAUGUUGUUUGGUUACACCCAUCUGAGUCAUGAGUAGAUGUCGCAGUUCAGUAGUUGUAGGUCUGAACUGUUGGCAAAAAAUCAGGAGCUGUUCACAUAUUCUGCUCCCCCGUUUUCGACUAAGGGGAGCUAAGAAGCGGCUUCCUUCAUGUUGUUGAAUGUCCAUGGUUUGUAAACUAACUGGGAGGUCCCGUCCCCCUGCUGGGACCUGUGGUCGUUGUUCGGGCUGAGGUGGUGUUGUAGUUGGGGCUGUGGUGGCUGCUGGAGCUGCAGCAGCUGCAUCCAUGUCGGGGUCGAGAGAGAGAGAGACACAAGAAAUAAGAGAGAGGUAGAACCCCAAAAAGCAGACUCAACAACGAAGGCACAGAUGGAGUGAUGAGAUCCCGAGGUUUAUUAAUAGAAAGGAAGGAGGGGAUGAGAACUGGACUCGGAGGACGAAUGGGGAGCAGGUCCGGGUGGCCCAGGGUGCCGGGCCGAUGUUCCGGGAAGGUGCGGCAACCCGCGGGGAGACCGGGAAGACUGGCCACCGAGCUUUAUCCGGAGGCGGGAGGCUGACGGCAGCGCUGGUCGAUCUAGGCAGAAGCGAAGAACAACAAAACAAUUAUUUCUUUCUCCAAAGGAAAACACUGUGAACGCUAGUGACUAUUCAGAGUAGACUCUGUAGUUCGGCCGGAACGUUACCGCGUGGGGUACUGAGACGAUCUGGCAGCUAGUAGCUGGAGAACCAGGGUAGAUAUCCGGCAGUGAUGAGUGGAUAUGAAACAGGUGUGACCAGUGCAACCCGUCGCGCCCCUGCAGGGAAGCAAAUCCAACACAAAAAAAAACACACACAGGGAGGCUGCCAUAACACAUAUCAUACAAUACACAUAAACACACAGAUCUCCCCUAAAAUACUAAUUUAAUUCACAACUGCAUGACAGCACUAUCAUUAUUAGAAUUAUUAAGACUAUUUCAUCCUCAUUUGUUUAGUUUUAUAUAUGUACUAUGUCAAGUUCUUGUCAAGUUGUUUGUGUGUCCAUGUGUAUUUUUGCUGUAUUUUAUUAUUCUUCUGACUGUAGGAAUAUUUAAAAAACACAUUUUGAGCUGAACCAAGGCUGUAACAUACUCUACUGUGGUGUAGAAAUAAGACUGUGAUGCCUUCAUUGACAGAACUUUAAAGAAAUGAUUCAAAGUGGCAGUGGUAAUUACAGCUGAUGGGAUAUUAGCUGUAACAAGGUUGAAGGAACCACAUAGGCUUGUUUUUCAUCUUUCCUCUGUGCUUUCCUACAUCUCCUUUCCCCAUCCCCCAACACCCAAACCCCACACUGCACUCUCCACGACCCCCCAGGAUCUUCGGGUCUCUACCAAUGAGAGCUCUACAGCAGCAUUCCUUCCC